AUGAACUUAGUAGAUCAUUUUAGGAGGCCCUCAAUGACCAUAGAUCGAACCUAUCCUCUUUUUACAGUGCUUUGACUGGCUAUUUAUGGACUAGUUGUAUCUACUCUUUUUUCUUGGGAUCAAUGUCAGCAAUGCACUUCAUCCAAUGAUAAACCAAAUUCCAACUGUAGAACUAUGACACAAUCAACCCGAAUGAACAAAAUGUUGAAUUUUUUACAUAGCAAAAGGAUUUGGCCCUAG
Molecule: ribosomal RNA, 240 nt
Filed under: Triticum aestivum (bread wheat)
Lineage: Eukaryota; Viridiplantae; Streptophyta; Magnoliopsida; Poales; Poaceae
Description: partial small subunit ribosomal RNA
Source: RNAcentral